RNAcentral lists this transfer RNA (101 nucleotides) under Poronia punctata. RNAcentral's name for it is "tRNA-Leu". It matches the Rfam family "tRNA". From Rfam's summary of the family: Transfer RNA (tRNA) molecules are approximately 80 nucleotides in length. Lineage: Eukaryota; Fungi; Ascomycota; Sordariomycetes; Xylariales; Xylariaceae. The record is from RNAcentral.
GGCAAGAUGGCCGAGUUGGUUAUGGCGUGAGGUUAAGGUCACCUUAGCAAGAUAAUUUCCUCAUGGAGCAAUCCGCGUGGGUUCAAGUCCCACUCUUGUCA